UAGUCCACGCCGUAAACGAUGAGUGCUAGCUGUUGGGACCUUAGGUUUCAGUGGCGACGCUAACGCAUUAAGCACUCCGCCUGGGGAGUACGGUCGCAAGAUUAAAACUCAAAGGAAUUGACGGGGACCCGCAUAAGCGGUGGAGCAUGUGGUUUAAUUCGAGGCAACGCGAAGAACCUUACCAGACCUUGACAUGCCUCUCGCGGGAGAUAGAGAUAUCUCCCUUCAGUUCGGCUGGAGAGUGCACAGGUGCUGCAUGGCUGUCGUCAGCUCGUGUCGUGAGAUGUUGGGUUAAGUCCCGCAACGAGCGCAACCCUCAUCCUUAGUUGCCAGCAUUUAGUUGGGCACUCUAAGGAAACUGCCUGGGUCAACCAGGAGGAAGGUGGGGAUGACGUCAAGUUUUCACGGCCCUUAUGGUCUGGGCUACACAUGUGCUACAAUGGCAGUGACAAUGAGCAGCGAUCCCGCGAGGGUUAGCUAAUCUCCAAACA
This 491-nucleotide ribosomal RNA is filed under the name uncultured bacterium. RNAcentral's name for it is "bacterial SSU rRNA". It matches the Rfam family "Bacterial small subunit ribosomal RNA", at positions 791 to 1282 of the family's 1533-position model. The record is from RNAcentral.